RNAcentral lists this ribosomal RNA (408 nucleotides) under uncultured bacterium. RNAcentral describes it as "partial 16S ribosomal RNA". It matches the Rfam family "Bacterial small subunit ribosomal RNA", at positions 29 to 526 of the family's 1533-position model. The record is from RNAcentral.
AGUGAACGCUGGCGGCGUGCCUAAUACAUGAAAGUCGAACGAAGUGGCGCACGGGUGAGUAAUAUAUAGUUAAUCUGCCCUACACAGAGGAACAACAGUUGGCAACGACUGCUAAUACCUAAUAGUGUAGGAGGAAACUAUAUCGUAUCAGCUAGUUGGUAAAGUAAUGGCUUACCAAGGCUAUGACGCGUAACUGGUCUGAGAGGAUGAUCAGACACAUUGUAACUGAGACACGGUUCAGACUCCUACGGCAGGUAGCAGUAAGGAAUAUUGCCCCAUGGGGGAAACCCUGACGCAGCAACGCCGCGUGGAGGAUGACACUUUUCGGAGCGUAAACUCCUUUUAUCAGGAAAGCGGUACCUGAUGAAUAAGCACCGGCUAACACCGUGCCAGCAGCCGCGGUAAUAC